UACGUAGGUGGCAAGCGUUAUCCGGAUUUACUGGGUGUAAAGGGUGAGUAGGCGGGUAAACAAGUCAGAUGUGAAAUGCAAAGGCUUAACCUUUGAACUGCAUUUGAAACUGUAUAUCUUGAGAGUCGGAGAGGUAAUCGGAAUUCCCGGUGUAGCGGUGAAAUGCGUAGAGAUCGGGAGGAACACCAGUGGCGAAGGCGGAUUACUGGACGACAACUGACGCUGAUGCACGAAAGCGUGGGGAG
RNAcentral lists this ribosomal RNA (245 nucleotides) under uncultured Oscillibacter sp. RNAcentral describes it as "partial 16S ribosomal RNA". It matches the Rfam family "Bacterial small subunit ribosomal RNA", at positions 524 to 768 of the family's 1533-position model. Lineage: Bacteria; Bacillati; Bacillota; Clostridia; Eubacteriales; Oscillospiraceae. The record is from RNAcentral.